RNAcentral lists this ribosomal RNA (738 nucleotides) under Triticum aestivum (bread wheat). Its description in RNAcentral is "partial small subunit ribosomal RNA". The record is from RNAcentral. Lineage: Eukaryota; Viridiplantae; Streptophyta; Magnoliopsida; Poales; Poaceae.
AUGCAUGAAAAGGAAGGUGGAGCAGCUAGAGAGCAAAGAACCAUGCAAGCAUUUAGAGAUGCUCUAUCUGAUUGUGAGUUGGAAGAUAUGGGAGCGACGGGAGACGUCUAUAUGUGGAGUAGAGGAGUGAUCAAGGAAAGGUUGGAUAGAGCAGUAUGCAACUCAAGAUGGAACCAACUGUUUCCUAAUGCAGGGGUCAUCAAUGGUGAAAUGACCAAGUCUGAUCAUAGGCCGUUGGUGACUAACACUGAAUUAUAUGUAGAGGCGAUUCGGCCCCCUAGUUCAAUGAAGAGAUUUGAGGGGAGAUGGCUUAAGGAGGAAACAGUUGAGGAGGUGGUACGAACGGCUUGGAUGAAGGCGUCGUCGUUAGGCCUUGGACCGUUUAAACAAAAAGUAGAUUCAGUCCAUAAUGAUCUGCAUAAGUGGGACAAAGAGGUAUUAAAAAGGCCACAUAAGAGAAUGGCGAAACUGAAGAAGGAGUUAGAGAGUCUGAGAAGAGGGCCAGCUACGGACGCAACGAUUGAUAGACAAAAAGAAAUACUUCUAACUAUUGAAAACUUGAUGGAGCAGGAAGAGAUUGAAUGGGUACAGAGAGGAAGAGCUAAUUGGCUGAAGCACGGUGACCGUAAUACAAUUUUUUUUCCAUUUGUAUGCUUCGGCAAGAAAGAAGAGGAAUACGAUCAAGGGUUUAAUGGACGAAAAUGGGGUAUUGGAGGAAGGGCAACAGGAGAUGGAUGA